This 253-nucleotide ribosomal RNA is filed under the name uncultured bacterium. Its description in RNAcentral is "partial 16S ribosomal RNA". It matches the Rfam family "Bacterial small subunit ribosomal RNA", at positions 524 to 776 of the family's 1533-position model. The record is from RNAcentral.
UACAGAGGGGGCAAGCGUUGUUCGGAAUUACUGGGCGUAAAGGGCGCGUAGGCGGCCCGCUAAGUCGAACGUGAAAUCCCCGAGCUCAACUCGGGAACUGCGUCCGAUACUGGUGGGCUUGAAUCCGGGAGAGGGAUGCGGAAUUCCAGGUGUAGCGGUGAAAUGCGUAGAUAUUAGGAAGAACACCGGUGGCGAAGGCGGCCCACUGGAUCGGUACUGACGCUGAGGUGCGAAAGCGUGGGGAGCAAACAGG